This 1846-nucleotide ribosomal RNA is filed under the name Arundinula sp. LA-9-W2a. RNAcentral's name for it is "eukaryotic LSU rRNA". It matches the Rfam family "Eukaryotic large subunit ribosomal RNA", at positions 143 to 1437 of the family's 3401-position model. The record is from RNAcentral. Lineage: Eukaryota; Ichthyosporea; Ichthyophonida; Eccrinaceae.
UUGUAGACUGAAGGGGCGUUAUCCAUUUUGUGCGGCUCGGGUAUAGAUCCGUUGGAAAGCGGUAUCACAGAGGGUGAGAAUCCCGUACGUGACUCGAGUGUUUUAUAAUCCGCACAUUAAAGCGUUGCGCUUCCGAAGAGUCGGGUUGUUUGGGAAUGCAGCCCAAAAUGGGUGGUAAACUUCAUCUAAGGCUAAAUAUUGGCACGAGACCGAUAGCGAACAAGUACCGUGAGGGAAAGAUGAAAAGCACUUUGAAAAGAGGGUCAAAAAGUACGUGAAACCGUUAAGAGGGAAACGAAUGGAGCUAGCAAACCGCUUUGUCGUACUUGGUUACAAUCAGCCGGACGCUUGCGUGUCGGGCUUUGGCGGGAGAAAACGGGUAGCUUCUUCGGAGGCUUCUCGUUUUCUUUCAGGGAGCUGUCUCGAGUGUGCCGUCAAAAAGCGCAAUGCCGAGAUGCCCCACGUCAGGGUCAAUCGUUAAUCGCACGUGAGUGGGAGUGCCGGUGCACUUGUAGCCAGUAUCAGGCCAACAUCAGUUCGGUGAAAUUUUUUUCUUGCCAGACGAAGGAGACAGGGACCUWAGGGAGAAGGUGGCCGUGGUGAACAGAAUUUAUUCUGCCUUUGCCGCGGCGUUACAGCUCCCUUUGGAAAAUAUUUUCUAUUUCUACACGUCGCGGCCCGGACUGAGGAAACGCAGCAGCGCGCCCUUUCGCCUUUGYUUGCCUUCGGGGAAGUGAGGGAGUUGAAGGGAAACUUGCAGAGCUUCCGCUGGAACGCCUGGUGACCGUGACUGCACCUUAAUCGGGUAGUGGCGGGAGCUAUUUCAGUUGUUCCUUUUUUCUUCGGAGAAAAARAGCAGCUGGAGGAAGUGUGUUCUACCUUACGAGCCACGGGAGUCUACGCGUUAUUCGCGCUUGUGAUGUUGGCGAAAUGGCUUCAUCCGACCCGUCUUGAAACACGGACCAAGGAGUCUAACAUGUGCGCGAGUCUUUGGGUGACAAACCCGCGGGCGAAAUGAAAGUGAAGGCGCGCCAUUCUUUGUCGCGCGUCGAGGUGAGACGCCUCCUCUUCGGGGGAAAGGCCGCAUCAUCGACCGAUCCGGACGGGCCGAGGAUUUYCCAGGACUUGUYCUGGRUGCCACGGACUUCCAGAAAGAUUUGAGUAAGAGCGUAUAUGCUGGGACCCGAAAGAUGGUGAACUAUGCCUGAACAGGGUGAAGUCUGAGGAAACUCAGAUGGAAGCUCGCAGCGAUUCUGACGUGCAAAUCGAUCGUCUGAUUUGGGUAUAGGGGCGAAAGACUAAUCGAACCAUCUAGUAGCUGGUUCCCUCCGAAAUUUCCCUCAGGAUAGCUGGAACUCGAGACGCAGUUUUAUCAGGUAAAGCGAAUGAUUAGAGGCCUUGGGGUCGAAAUGACCUCAACCUAUUCUCAAACUUUAAAUGGGUAAGAAGCGCGACUUGCUUAAUUGAAGCCGUGCCACGUUUCGAAAGAAAAAGAAUGCAAGAGUUCCAAGUGGGCCAUUUUUGGUAAGCAGAACUGGCGAUGCGGGAUGAACCGAACGCGAAGUUAAAGUGCCAAAGUUCACGCUCACCUAGAACCCACAAAAGGUGUUGGCUGAUGAAGACAGCAGGACGGUGGCCAUGGAAGUCGGAAUCCGCUAAGGAGUGUGUAACAACUCACCUGCCGAAUCAGCCAGCCCUGAAAAUGGAUGGCGCUCAAGCGUGACACUCAUACUUCGCCGUUGCCGCAAACGAAGCAGACGCAUACUCUAAACUUUGCCGCAACGAGUAGGAGGGCGUGGAGGUAAUUAGUGAAGCAGCUCAGGGCGUGAGCCCGAGUGAAACUGCC